This is a microRNA precursor of Anolis carolinensis (green anole), 86 nucleotides long. The record is from Ensembl. NCBI's taxonomy places the organism in Eukaryota, Metazoa, Chordata, Lepidosauria, Squamata, Anolidae.
GAAACAUGAUCAGAAAUAGUUUUACCAUUGCAUUGGAGAUGGAAUUUUUUCUAAUGCAACGGUAGAACUAUUCCUGAUCAUGUAGC